This 286-nucleotide long non-coding RNA is filed under the name Homo sapiens (human). Its description in RNAcentral is "HSALNT0122501". The record is from RNAcentral. Lineage: Eukaryota; Metazoa; Chordata; Mammalia; Primates; Hominidae.
AGACAGCCUGAGAGGAGCAAGAGCUUCUCCAAGGAUCUCCUCGUGAAUUCAGACCUCGGAAAUAAUGAAAACAUUUAUAUUUCCAGUUUUUAUCUAGAAUUCUCAAAAGUAUCGAAGCUAUUGCAAUUCAUAAUCUGCCUCGACAUAAUUUCGAAAUCAAAGGAACAAAAACAACUUACCUGAAAAGGUCUCUCCUGGGAAAACCCCAGCUUAUGUGUGGGUCGGGAUUCAUUCAGGGAAUAACCCCACGGCCUGCUUUUCCUCAGUUCCACCGUCCCUGCACCCC